RNAcentral lists this ribosomal RNA (535 nucleotides) under uncultured fungus. Its description in RNAcentral is "eukaryotic LSU rRNA". The stretch from base 198 to 351 matches the Rfam family "5.8S ribosomal RNA". Lineage: Eukaryota; Fungi. The record is from RNAcentral.
AAGUCGUAACAAGGUCUCCGUAGGUGAACCUGCGGAGGGAUCAUUACAGAGUGAAGGGCUUCUGGCCCGACCUCCAACCCAUUGUGAUAUAUACCUCUGUUGCCUCGGGGGCGACCCGGCCCUGGUGCCGGAGCCCCCGAUGGACCACAUUUAAACACUUGCAUCUAUGCGUCGGAUUAUAAAGUUUAAAUUAUUAAAACUUUCAACAACGGAUCUCUUGGUUCUGGCAUCGAUGAAGAACGCAGCGAAAUGCGAUAAGUAAUGUGAAUUGCAGAAUUCAGUGAAUCAUCGAGUUUUUGAACGCACACUGCGCCCCUUGGUAUUCCGGGGGGCAUGCCCGUUCGAGCGUCAUUACACCAAUCAAGCCUGGCUUGGUAUUGGGCCACGGGGGCGACCCGGGCCUCAAAGUCUUUCGGCUGGACGUCUCCAAUCUCAGCGUCGUGGUUAUUCAACUCGCUGUCGAGAGGGGGGUCCGCGCCGGUAAACUCUUUCACAGGUUGACCUCGGAUCGGGUAGGAAUACCCGCUGAACUUAA